This 1064-nucleotide ribosomal RNA is filed under the name uncultured fungus. RNAcentral's name for it is "eukaryotic LSU rRNA". The stretch from base 484 to 1064 matches the Rfam family "Eukaryotic large subunit ribosomal RNA", at positions 1 to 591 of the family's 3401-position model. Lineage: Eukaryota; Fungi. The record is from RNAcentral.
UCCUCCACCCUUUGAUCGAUAUCAAAUAUUUAACGAGCUUCGGCGGAGCGAUUGAAUCCGAUUGAUCGGACGACAUCACAGAUUUCCAUGAUGGAAACCUAGCAGUAUCCGCCGUUUGCACAAAAUCCAAUACAAUUUGUUUAGUCUGAAGCAAAAAUGAAAAUAAUCAAAACUUUCAACAACGGAUCUCUUGGUUCUGGCAUCGAUGAAGAACGCAGCGAAAUGCGAUAAGUAAUGUGAAUUGCAGAAUUUAGUGAAUCAUCGAAUCUUUGAACGCACAUUGCGCCUCAGGGUAUUCCUUGAGGCAUGCCUGUUCGAGCGUCGUUUACACUGUAAAGCUUUGCUUUGUGAUGGAUUUAUCAGUCAGUGAUACUUCCCAAAACGAUUGGCGUUCGAAUUCGACCUUAAGACGCAACAACUUGUGUUGAUAGGGCGAUAUCGAGUAGUCUUCUUCUAUAUACGGAUUCUUCGGAAUCGUUGAGUCGACCUCGGAUCAGGCAAGAUUACCCGCUGAACUUAAGCAUAUCAAUAAAGCGGAGGGAAAAGAAMCMAMCAGGGAUUGCCUUAGUAACGGCGAGUGAAGCCGGCAUCAGCUCAAAUUUGAAAAUCUGGCCUCUGGUCCGAAUUGUAAUUUGUAGAGGAUGGUUCGGCGUCGUCCAGGCCCAAGUCUUCUGGAAGGAAGCGCCAUUGAGGGUGAGAGCCCCGUAUGGUCCAGGACCUAGCCAUGUGAACCUCCUUCGACGAGUCGAGUUGUUUGGGAAUGCAGCUCAAAACGGGUGGUAAAUUCCAUCUAAAGCUAAAUAUUGGCCAGAGACCGAUAGCGCACAAGUAGAGUGAUCGAAAGAUGAAAAGCACUUUGGAAAGAGAGUGAAACAGUACGUGAAAUUGUUGAAAGGGAAGCGCUCGCGACCAGACUUUUUCGGAUGAUUCAGGGACUCUUUUGGGUUCUGCACUUUUGUUCGAAAAGGCCAGCAUCAGUUCGGGUGGUUGGAUAAAAGCANCUGGGAAUGUGGCUCCUGCGGAGUGUUAUAGCCCUAUGCAGAAUACGAUCAAUCCUGGACUGA